AAGCCUGAGAAUUUGGGUCUCUUAGGGUUGGAUGGAGCACACAGCCUUUGCAGCUUUGCAGAACAGUUGCUCAGUUUCACACAUCCCCACCUCCUCCCCUGCACGUGUACACCUCCCCUAGGGCGCUCGCCCAGUGCGCUUCUCCCUUCCCCAAGGGAGGCCCAACUACUGACCAAUAUAAUCCCCUUUCCUUGCCUCGUCCCCCCGCCCCCGCUCCUCUCUCUCUCUCUCUCUAACCCUAUGGAGCCAAAAUGAGUCUUCAGCUUCUGUAGUUGCUAUAAGGUUGAACAGGUUAUGGCAUCACCAGGGACUCUCAGAACCAGGGUUUCUGUAGGGCUCUCACACGGGUCCUGGCUCCCUGAGACGCCCCCCCAUCCUCCCGCAGCGACCCAAGGCGGUCACUGCACACUGCACGGCACGACCAUCCGGAGGUCUCCAAUGCACAAGCAGCUUAAUUGCUCUCUCAGUGCUAAGAAACAGGCUUGCACCAAGCCAACUGACGCCCGCUGGGACCAGUUCCUGCCAGGCUCUCUGGGUAACCUAGGGACCUGUGUGGCGGGGGCGCAGCACCGACCUACGAAAUGCUGGUAAUCUGACAGAGGGAGAAACCCCACAGUUCUGCGGCUCCACUGCCAACAGUUGAGAGCUUUUGAUGUUUUGCAACCUCACAGCUUCGCAAGGCUUUCUGGUUUGGGUUUGUUUUUCCACCUCCCUUCCUUUUGGCUCUCUAGUGUAAGCCGCUUUUAAAAUGUGGGCGCAGUGAAAUUUCCGAAGAGCAAUGGAGGUGUCAUCCAGACGGAAAUAAGUGGAAGGGACCUCUAUCAGGAAGGAUCUCUAACUCAGACUUCCCUGUCGGUUUUCUAUCCUGUGCUGUUUUAAGGGUUAACUUCUCUUAAAAUCAUUUUUGGAUCAAAGCCAACUGUGUUUAAUUAAAUAAAUACAUACACGCCAUUUGUGG
This 958-nucleotide long non-coding RNA is filed under the name Mus pahari (shrew mouse). RNAcentral describes it as "predicted gene 16339 (MGP_PahariEiJ_G0003876.1)". The record is from RNAcentral. Lineage: Eukaryota; Metazoa; Chordata; Mammalia; Rodentia; Muridae.